AUGGGAGCUAUGAGUAGUGCAGGCAUGUUGGAUUCAAGGGAUGCUGGGAUCUAUUCUCUCAUCACCUUUGUACCGUCCACGUUUUUGCACUCAGGUCCUGUGCAGGUAUCUUCAAAUAAAGAUGUAAGUACAGCAAAAAUAAUAGCCUUGGAUAUAGAUACAUACUUGUUUUCGUACAAAAAGACAGACAGUCUGAAGGAUAAUAAGGAUCUUUCUUCUCUCUCUUUCCUCCAGGCUGAUUCAGAGAAUGCAGGGAUCUACAGCCUGAUCACUUCUGUAUCAUCCACAUCUGUACCACCAGGUUUGUCUAUUUAACUCUGUCCCAAUGUUUCAUAACAUGUAU
Molecule: long non-coding RNA, 343 nt
Filed under: Oncorhynchus mykiss (rainbow trout)
Lineage: Eukaryota; Metazoa; Chordata; Actinopteri; Salmoniformes; Salmonidae
Description: lncRNA (ENSOMYG00000072080.1)
Source: RNAcentral